This 1288-nucleotide long non-coding RNA is filed under the name Pandoravirus neocaledonia. Its description in RNAcentral is "hypothetical ncRNA". The record is from RNAcentral.
CCGCCGGCGGGGAUCUUUGACGCGCAUCAUGGUGCCGUCGACGACCUCGUAAUGUUGGCGCAGAAAAGCGACGACCUGCGGGUUCCGAGAGGCGAGUGCCUUUGUCGUGCAUCCUUCGGUGCGGUUCUUGUGCAGAUAGACGACGACAUCGAGGUGGCCCGAUAGUGCGGCCAGGGUCAUGGCUUGGAUCGUACAACCGCACGUGGCCUUUUUGUCGAGAAACCGCACAACGGCCAGGUGGCCGUUGCGCGCGGCCUUGUCCAUAUCGCCCGAUCGACAGUCUCGUAUGCCGCGUCGGUAAAAGUAGGCGACAAUAUCGCGGUGCCCGUGCACGAUGGCCUCGACUAGGCUGGGACGCGCGAGACGCAUCCCCAUGAUCUCAUGCAAAAACGCGAUGACGUCAAAAUGUCCGUGGCGGGCGGCCAUGAAAAUCGCCCGCGCCGUGCAGCCCUCGCUCCGGUUGGCAUGGAGGAACUUGAUCACGUCGGAAUGCCCGCCGGCGGCGGCACCGUCCAUUGCGCGGGUCGUGCACCCCUCGGUACGAUUGGCAUGGAGGAAUUGGACGAUGGCGAGGUGACCGGCCGCGGCGGCCAGGUCCAUGGCGUCGGUCGGAGGGGGGCUCGCACACGACGACGACCACCACCAUGGCGCGGUUCUGACGAUGGGGUUUCCAAAUCGAUCGACAAUGGUCCCGUCGGCCGUAACAAAAUACUCUUGCAUAGAGUUUUGCGCGUCGGCGAGGUCGUGCGGUUUGGCAUCGGCAAAGUGCCCAUUGUGUGUGCACAGCCGAUGACGAUGAAGGAGGAGAACGACAUCGAGAUGGCCGCUAGCGGCGGCCUGCGCUAGAUGACACAGGGCAAACGGAGCGCCGUGGUCGCACAGCGCGCGUACUGCGGUCACGUCGCCGCGGCGGCAGAGGUCGAUGCGGUCGGCACAAAGCCAUCGCGGCACCUGUCGCCCACGGUGGAUUUCAUCGGCGGUAUGGACGCGAAACAUUCGAUGGGCCACGCGGACCGUACAAAAGGAGACGUCGUCGAGCCGAUCGAUAAUGCCACAAAGAAUUUCGGUGGGCAUGCUGCCGAUUCCUACUGCACCGUCAUCGGCAGCCGAAAGAUUCUGCGAUUCGGAUUUCCUCAUGACUGCGGCGACGACGACUUGACUUUGCCCGGCCGCCCGGCACCACAUAAAGGACCGCCUCUCUCUCUCUCUCUCUUUUUGUUGUGUCUGGCGAAUUGGAACAAAGACUUGCUGUACAUUUUUUGAUUGGAUUAACAAGUUUGGCAGGCGA